CAGGCGCGAAACCUCCGCAAUGCACGCAAGUGCGACGGGGGAACCCCAAGUGCCACUCUUAACGGGGUGGCUUUUCAGAAGUGUAAAAAGCUUCUGGAAUAAGGGCUGGGCAAGACCGGUGCCAGCCGCCGCGGUAACACCGGCAGCUCAAGUGGUAGCCGCUUUUAUUGGGCCUAAAGCGUCCGUAGCCGGUCUGAUAAGUCUCUGGUGAAAUCCCACAGCUUAACUGUGGGAAUUGCUGGAGAUACUAUCAUGACUCGAGGUCGGGAGAGGCUGGAGGUACUCCCAGGGUAGGGGUGAAAUCCUGUAAUCCUGGGAGGACCACCUGUGGCGAAGGCGUCCAGCUGGAACGAACCUGACGGUGAGGGACGAAAGCCAGGGGCGCGAACCGGAUUAGAUACCCGGGUAGUCCUGGCCGUAAACGAUGUGGACUUGGUGUUGGGAUGGCUUCGAGCUGCCCCAGUGCCGAAGGGAAGCUGUUAAGUCCACCGCCUGG
RNAcentral lists this ribosomal RNA (496 nucleotides) under Methanothermobacter sp. RNAcentral's name for it is "bacterial SSU rRNA". It matches the Rfam family "Archaeal small subunit ribosomal RNA", at positions 336 to 831 of the family's 1478-position model. The record is from RNAcentral. Lineage: Archaea; Methanobacteriati; Methanobacteriota; Methanobacteria; Methanobacteriales; Methanobacteriaceae.